RNAcentral lists this unclassified non-coding RNA (722 nucleotides) under Hevea brasiliensis (rubber tree). The record is from RNAcentral. Lineage: Eukaryota; Viridiplantae; Streptophyta; Magnoliopsida; Malpighiales; Euphorbiaceae.
GCAAACAAAAUCAGAGAUUAUUAUCAGAAGCUGCGAAAUAUGAGAUUAAACAUAUCCAAAAUCCAGGUUCACAUAAAUCAAAAACCUUGAUAUUCUUCAAUCAAAAAGAUACCACGAAAAAUAAUAACAGUAAUAUCAAAAAAAGAACUAUUAGAACGUAAAGCAUCCUAGAUGACAAACUUCACCACUUAAGGUUUCAUAAUCAAUCAACGCUCUGCAUAAUAUCCUCAGCUGUAAACUUGGUGCCCUUGUCCUUGUCAGCAGCGGCGCGACCCUUGGCCUUGCGGUCAAGCAGAGACUUGCGGUCCUUGUCAAGGCGGAGCUUGGUGAUAACAACCUUAGAAGGAUUGAUGCCAACGUUGACGGUGGAUCCAUUCACUUUCUCCCUAGUGAUGCGCUCAAUGUGGAUGACCCACUUGCGGCGGUAAACCUGGACUACCUUACCCUCGCGGCCCUUGAAUGUCCCACGAACCACCUGCACCUCGUCGUCCUUGCGGACCGGCACAGAUCGGACGUUGUACUUCUGGCGGAGGUCAGUGGAGAGAGGCGCGCUCAUGAGGAUCCGACGAACGGAGGAGGGGGCCGUGAAGUGAGCCUUCCGGCUCUUGCGCCGGGAAGAUGAAACCCUAGGAUUGUACUUCAUGGUGCUUGUGUGCGGCGGUGGUAGAGUGUGCUAGGGUUUUGGGAGAGAAACACGGCGUAAAAAAGCAAGUGGAAUUGAA